Molecule: microRNA precursor, 92 nt
Filed under: Alligator mississippiensis (American alligator)
Lineage: Eukaryota; Metazoa; Chordata; Crocodylia; Alligatoridae
Description: microRNA ami-mir-34c precursor
Gene: ami-mir-34c
Rfam family: mir-34 microRNA precursor family (bases 12-78)
About the family: Human mir-34a was discovered computationally and later experimentally verified. The mature sequence is excised from the 5' arm of the hairpin.
Source: miRBase by way of RNAcentral
UACCUCAGCCUAGUUGCUAGGCAGUGUAGUUAGCUGAUUGCAAAAGGCAACAAUCACUAACCACACAGCCAGGUAAAAAGGUCUGUCUUGCA